RNAcentral lists this ribosomal RNA (320 nucleotides) under uncultured bacterium. RNAcentral describes it as "bacterial SSU rRNA". It matches the Rfam family "Bacterial small subunit ribosomal RNA", at positions 30 to 353 of the family's 1533-position model. The record is from RNAcentral.
AUUGAACGCUGGCGGCAUGCCUUACACAUGCAAGUCGGACGGCAGCACGGGGCAACCUGGUGGCGAGUGGCGAACGGGUGAGUAAUGCAUCGGAACGUGCCAUUGAGUGGGGGAUAACGUAGCGAAAGUUGCGCUAAUACCGCAUAUUCUGUGAGCAGGAAAGCAGGGACCGCAAGGCCUUGCGCUCUUUGAGCGGCCGAUGUCAGAUUAGCUAGUUGGUGAGGUAACGGCUUACCAAGGCGACGAUCUGUAGCGGGUCUGAGAGGAUGAUCCGCCACACUGGAACUGAGACACGGUCCAGACUCCUACGGGAGGCAGCA